AGUCUAAUGCCUGAUUAAAGGAUUAUCUUGAUAGGGUAAAUAAUGUGUGAUAUACUUAGGCUA
This 63-nucleotide transfer RNA is filed under the name Limnadia lenticularis. RNAcentral's name for it is "tRNA-Ile". The record is from RNAcentral. Lineage: Eukaryota; Metazoa; Arthropoda; Branchiopoda; Diplostraca; Limnadiidae.